GGGUAGUUUAGUGGUAGAAUACUCACACCAGAUAGGCUCGUCCCAUCUCCCAAUCGAAUGGUUAGAAGGAAUCCAGGUCAACUGUCUGGGACGCUAGGCGAGAAGCCCGUGAGAGACAUGCGUUCGAAUCGCACCAUGUCCA
Molecule: non-coding RNA, 142 nt
Organism: Ascochyta rabiei
Lineage: Eukaryota; Fungi; Ascomycota; Dothideomycetes; Pleosporales; Didymellaceae
Source: the annotation of a RefSeq genome assembly